This is a long non-coding RNA of Nematostella vectensis (starlet sea anemone), 327 nucleotides long. RefSeq lists it as uncharacterized. The record is from RefSeq and is a predicted model, not a curated record. Lineage: Eukaryota; Metazoa; Cnidaria; Anthozoa; Actiniaria; Edwardsiidae. The transcript has 3 exons.
GCAGCCCUUCCAUCUUUUAUAAAUAGCCCUGCGUCCAGUAUCUAACUCCAAACAAGGAACAAAUUCGAUCCAUCAACGCUGAAUGUUCUACUGGGAAUUUCACUCACCAAGUUUACACAAAAAGUUUAACUAUAACCAGGUCAGUAGGACGUCACCAAGUCAGCACAACGCACUUCCGGUAGGGGCGUACGCAGGAUUUUAACAAGUUGCAGUCAAAGCAUUCAGAAGCUGAAUGAGGGCGUGGCCCCUCAACCCGCAUCCCCGUGAAGAUUUCAUAGCUCCCGCUUUUGAGUUUGAAAUUGGCGUCAAUGUUCCCUGCUAGCAGAG